AGAAAGAGGAUGAGGUGAAGGAGAAGAAACAGUAUAAAUUUUGGGCAAAUAGUGCAAUUUUCGUUCGAAGAGUGCAACUUUCGUUCAAAGACUGUAACUUUUAUUUAAAAAAGUAUAUUUUUUCUCUCAAAAAGUGUAAAUUUUCUCUAAAAGAGUGCAACGUUUCUUUGAAAUAGUACAACUGUCACGCCCCGGGACCCAGCGGAAGCCCGCCCGACGCGUGUCCAGACCCGCCAUAUGCCUACAAUAUAUAAGGCGUCUACAACAAAGCGAUAAAUUAAAACAAUAAUAAACCAGUAUCUAGAGAUAUCAGAGUAUGAUUACAUCUAAAUUUUAAUAACAAAAAGAAUAAUAAAAGAGCUAAACAACUAAUAUAACCAAAAGGGUAAAUACAACGAGUUCCAAACAUAAAAGCUAAAUGUACAAAAGUGGUGGUCUCUACAAGGUACAAAACUCUCAACCUCUCCAAAAGAACAAAAAGAGAGGUGAACCACCUAAAUACGGAGCUCCUCGCAACUAGCUAGGGGCAACACCCUUGCCUCGAUCCUGAGCCUCUCCCGGCGUGGAAGGCUCUGUAAAACAUCAAGAAACAGGGGGCG
This 599-nucleotide long non-coding RNA is filed under the name Ananas comosus (pineapple). RNAcentral describes it as "long non-coding RNA (ACOM_LNC003372)". The record is from RNAcentral. Lineage: Eukaryota; Viridiplantae; Streptophyta; Magnoliopsida; Poales; Bromeliaceae.